This 2265-nucleotide ribosomal RNA is filed under the name Triticum aestivum (bread wheat). Its description in RNAcentral is "partial small subunit ribosomal RNA". Lineage: Eukaryota; Viridiplantae; Streptophyta; Magnoliopsida; Poales; Poaceae. The record is from RNAcentral.
AUGUCAUGCUUUCAUCUACAUCUACUGAACAAACUUUUCAAGUGGGACUCAUUUUUCAACCGAAGAUAUGAUGGCACUGCAAGAACAAGGCCCACAAUAUCAGCUGGUAUGGUGUGUAUCUGCAUAUAUAUGUAUGCCCUUUUCCUCUGGGCUUGGGCGUCGUUGGCAUUCUGGCUGCUUCUCUGCCGAAGUAUUGGCUCUUGGCAAAGAAUUUUAAUUACAUUUGUCAUGGCGCCGGAUCAAGACCAUGAGCAAGAUAACAGGAGUGGUCACAGCAUCAGCAGCAAAUCCUUUCAAAGAUGUGAGGGCUGCGAUGCACAUUAUUAUUGGUGUCAUAUGGAUGAUACCCAGAAGUAUUUCUUCAAGUGCAUGGUUGGCAAUUUCCAAGAAAAAAUGGCCAUUCCACAGAAGUUUGUGCAGAAUUUCAAAGGUCAGAUCUCUGAAGUUAUCAAGCUAGAAGCUCCUGAUGGAAACAUAUACAAUGUUCAGGCUAUCAAGGAUCUAAACAAGAUAGUCCUCGGGUCUGGAUGGGGGGUAUUUGUCAGAUUUUACGAACUAAAAGCGGGCUACUUCCUGGUCUUCAGGUACAUCGGGGAUUCUCACUUCAAAGUUCUGAUAUUUGAUUUUGCAAGUUGCUGUGAGAAGGAAGUGUUCCACGUUCUCAUGAACUGCGGUCCUAAUGCCCAAGAAAAAGACACUCGUCUUGAUCGAUCGCUACUGGGUGAAAAACGAUGCCAGAAUGGUGGAUCAAGCAACAGUGAGUCUCAUCGAAGGUGCGAGCACUGCGAUGUGCAUUUCUACUGGCAUCACAUGGAUGAUAGGCAGAAGCAUUUCUUGAGGUUCAUGGUUGGCGAUUUCCUUCACGAAAUGAACAUACCAGAGAAAUUUGUGAACAAUUUCAGAGGCAGGAUCUCUAAAGUUAUGAAGCUAGAAGCUCCUGAUGGAAAUGUAUACAACAUUCAGGUUACCAAUGAUCUGAACAAGAUAACCCUUAGAUCUGGAUGGGCAGCAUUUGCCAGUGCUUAUGAACUAAAAGAGCAUGACUUGCUGGUGUUCAGUUACACUGGAAACUCUCACUUUAGAGUCCUAAUAUUUGACCCAAGUGGUUGUGAGAAAGAAUUAUUCCGCAUUGUUAUGAACCACACUCCUAAUGUACAAAAAGGGGGUAUAUCUCAUGAUCAGUUAUUCCUGAAGGAAACAAGGCGUCGAGACGGCGGAUCGCGUGAUAACAACCCUAGGAAAACUAAAAAGAUGACUCUGUUGGACUCUCCUUCACCGAAAUCAGCUGAAGGUGUCACAUCUCCGGAGGACACCAUGAAUUCAAGCGGCCCUCCAGAAACCACCGAGCCUCGGUAUGUCCUAGCAACAGGGUGCAAUCUGACUACAGCUCAGAAGGCACAAAUCGACACACUUGUGAAGAAAAUUAGGCCUGUAAUUCCAUUUUACAUCACAGCCAUGAACAAGACAAGUUUGUCUGGAUCUCUGGUAAUCUGCAAGGAUUAUGCUGCCAAAUACCUUCCACAUGAAGACCAAUUCAUCACACUCUGCCAUCCUCGUAAGAGCAACAUAUGGUUAGACAAUUUGAAGGUUACCACUGAUGGUUCAGGCAUGCUUUCUGCUGGCUGGUCAUGCUUCGUUCUCCACAACGAGUUGCGGGAAAGUGAUGUUUGUGUAUUCGAAGUAUCAAAAAGCGCUGGUGAAAUGACAAUGGUUGUUCAUUCUCUUGAAGGAGGUCAUCACCUACAAGGGAAAGAGCCCGAAUCUCAAAACAAGUGCGAUUAUCCUGUUAAGGGCAAGGCGAUCAAGGAAGCUGAGAGUGACCAUAAACAUGCUGAGUCCAAGUCCAACUACUACUACUCAAAGUAUGCCAAGGGCCUGAAUGGCGAGGAGCUAGAGGAGAUAUUCAGGUCAGCGUUGAUCCAACAGGGCAAUGUGGUAUACGUCACCAUCCUGGGGAAGAAUCAAGUUAGAAUCAAGAACAACUUGCUGACCUUCCCCGAGAAGUUUGCAGCUAAGCAUCUCGUGGAGAGGUCGCAUGACAUCCUGCUCCUGAGGCCCAACCGGAGUGAGACGUGGUGUGCGAGGUACUACUACCACCCGGAAAAACAGGGUUUCAGCUACAGUUCCUGGACCAAGUUCGUCCGAGACAACAAGCUGCGUGAGGGCCACGUCUGCGUCUUCGAGCUGAUUAAGGGCGUGAGUAAGGCGAUGAUGAUUGUCCACGUGUUCACCAAGGUCGAUGGCAGGUUUGUUCUGCUGGACUAA